UUUUUUACUGGACAGGAGAGUCUCUAUGAUCAAAAAGGUAGGUUUCCAAUGACGGGGCACCUCAAUUGUACUACCCGUGUGCUGACUUCUGCAGCUUCCCCAAAUACAGAAACGUGACAGUAUAAUUUGUGAUAGGGAAUUGACUGUGCACUCUUCCUAG
This 160-nucleotide small nuclear RNA is filed under the name Sphenodon punctatus (tuatara). RNAcentral describes it as "U1 spliceosomal RNA (ENSSPUG00000000792.1)". It matches the Rfam family "U1 spliceosomal RNA". Rfam says of the family: U1 is a small nuclear RNA (snRNA) component of the spliceosome (involved in pre-mRNA splicing). The record is from RNAcentral. Lineage: Eukaryota; Metazoa; Chordata; Lepidosauria; Sphenodontia; Sphenodontidae.